RNAcentral lists this transfer RNA (68 nucleotides) under Fukomys damarensis (Damara mole-rat). It matches the Rfam family "tRNA". Rfam says of the family: Transfer RNA (tRNA) molecules are approximately 80 nucleotides in length. Their secondary structure includes four short double-helical elements and three loops (D, anti-codon, and T loops). Lineage: Eukaryota; Metazoa; Chordata; Mammalia; Rodentia; Bathyergidae. The record is from Rfam by way of RNAcentral.
GGCAGUUUAGCUCAGUGGUAGAGCUCUUGCCUGGGAUGCAAAAACCCUGGGUUCAAAUUCCAAUGCCA